GACGAGGAUGAGAACCUCCGGGGGCAAGAGGUUCGACCCGAGCGAAGCGAGAGAACGUUGCGUCAGCAACGGCCCGCAGGGCGAGCCACGCAGUGGCGAGUCAUCCUCUAUCACCGACCA
Molecule: small RNA, 120 nt
Filed under: Salmonella enterica subsp. enterica serovar Infantis
Lineage: Bacteria; Pseudomonadati; Pseudomonadota; Gammaproteobacteria; Enterobacterales; Enterobacteriaceae
Also listed under: 8 other names
Description: RtT sRNA
Rfam family: RtT RNA
About the family: This family represents a bacterial cis-regulatory element known as RtT RNA. The exact function of RtT is unknown although it is thought that it may be involved in changing the cellular response in relation to amino acid starvation.
Source: RNAcentral